Molecule: non-coding RNA, 3149 nt
Organism: Nothobranchius furzeri (turquoise killifish)
Lineage: Eukaryota; Metazoa; Chordata; Actinopteri; Cyprinodontiformes; Nothobranchiidae
Source: RefSeq, a predicted model, not a curated record
UCCUAAAAAUGUGAUUAUUUCCUUUUGUAAGCAGUUGAAAAUGUGAGAUUUUAGAUCAGUUGCAGGUGAACUCCAUUGAUUUGUGUCAUGAGUGCAGCUGUGCUUCAGCAUGAAGCCUCAAACACGCAGCCCGAGCGUUAAUACCCAGCGUGAAAGUCCAGAGUUGCUAAAUAUUACAGUCAUCUGCUGAGUGUUAAAGUGCUCCGACAGCCACAGGAAGGCCAGGAUGAGUCAAUCAGCUGUUAACACAUCCGUAACGUAGCAUCAUGUGACCAGAAGUGACCCUGAAGUCACAACCGAAAAGAUCUGAAAAAACACGAUUAGCAGUUUUAAUCUAAUCUAAUCUUUCAGAAUCAGAUUAUUGAUUUGUGUAUAACAAAUAUAGUUUUUGUUCCUCCGAAGUGUUUUUAAAUCUCUAAACCAGAAUAUGUUGUCUUUGGGCUGAAGUUUAAAUGAAAUGUUUAAAACAAAUCUGUGGAAAAAUGAAUAAAAUAGACCCAUCGUUGUAAACAGAAUAAAUGUGAGAUUUCAUGAGUCAUGCUGAAACAUAACUUUAGAAAAUGGAUAAUAAACUGCUUCUUCAAACACAAUAUUAUAUUUAAAAUAAAGCUCAAACACCAGAAAAAGAAGUUAAAAGCUCCUGAAAACUUGACAGAGACACGUCAGCCAAGCGGACCUCUUACAGGAGCGAAGAACAAACACGUGAAAGGUGACGUGCCGCCAACGUCUCCAAGUGGGAGGGAUAUCGUCCUACAAAUACGUGCGAUCUAACCCCUCCACCCAUUACCAAAUCUGCAAACUAUCCAGAAACCUCUCCAGCCAUGUGACCUGGAGGAACAAAAUGACCCCGAGUUCAGAGUCUGGUGGACUGAGAGGACGAGACAGAAGCUCCAGUUGAAGAUGCUCCUACAGCUGCAGAUGGAGCGGCGGUCCUGGUGCACAUGCAGGUAGGAGGAAGAAGAGAAGAUGUAACGUGGAUGAGAUCCCAUCCUGAUACAAGCCGGGACGUAGGAGAAAGAGCCCCAAGCUAACAGACGCAUGGUGUUAAAGCACUAACCACGGAGCGCCGGCGUGCCCACCUCGCUCAGGGAGAGAAACGAUCAUGUGUGAAAUGAGAUCUCUGCACAAUCAGGGGGAGCUGGAGCCAUAAAGCACACCAGGCGUUGAGGUAUCAUCAAACAAGUCGUACGAAUCUCUUCACUUGAUGACUUUGCAGUUGUUGCAGUCCAAUAACAGCCCUUUUACUUCUUUUUACAAACACAUUUCUGGACAUUUAAAGGUGUCCUAGCAGUGGUUCUACUACACUGUAAAAACUGAUUUUCAAGAAGGUUAAAUAGCUGCGUUUUUAGACACUUUAUCUUAUUUUAGUCUAAAACAAUCUUUCUUUUCUGCUAAAACAGCACUAUAAAAAUUCUGAAAUGUGAUAACAGUUUCUCGUUUUGAGUUUUAAAAAAAUAAACACCGAUGGGGUAAGCAAAAGUUGAUUUGCUAAAAAUCUUAAAGACAAAUUUACUGAGAACUUGUUAUAUUUAUUUAUAAUUGGUCAAUCUGAGUUUCACAUGCAGGCUGAAUGUGAAAAUACUCUUCUAUCCCGGUUUCCUGCAUUAGCCGCCAUAGGGAGCCUAAGUCGCGCCCAUCUAAUUCCGGACCACGGAUCCCCAAAAGAUCAAAAAAAUGAACGCGAGUCAGCGGGGCGAAAAACGCUAUUUUCUAAUUCCGCUUGUUAUGUGCCAUGGAUCUCACAUAUGAUGUCUGUGAAUUUUAAAGAAGCUUUCUGAUACCAAGAACUUGCUUAUUUUUGAACGGGGUGGGGGGUGGGGGCGCUAUUUUAGGUUUUGUGUGAAAAUAAAUUCAGGAUUACAACACAAAGGGAAAAAGAGCUGUAAGUUCAUCAAACUUCAAAUCCUUCCCACAGGAGGAAAAAACACCAUAAAUCUGGUCAUGUGGUGAGUAGCAGCUAGGCUAGGGGAGAGGGGAUUAUGUGGUGAUGUCACAUAUGCGACGUGCCGAUUUCUAGUUUGUAAUCAUGCCAAGUACGAACUUUUACAAGCUGAUAAAUCUCAAAGUACGUGACUGCCGUGGUCGAAACAACAUCAUUACUUUUCAUUUAAAUUGCAGUACAACAUGUGUGUGAUCCAGGGCGUAAGGCUAAGCGGAUUAGAAAAGAGCUCUUUUAGCCUCGUUGGCUUGCAUUCAUUUUUUUUCGUUCUUCCGGGGACCCGUGAGCCGACCGGAAAGGGAGGAGACUUAGGCUCCCUGUACUUCCUGAAACCGGAGCACCACAGCUUUCUUCCCCAGAUUGAUUCACAAGAUCUUAAUUUAUUUUUACUGCAAAUGUACUGAAAAACGAGUCUUUUAUCAUUUCAGCUGAGGUAUCAUUUUGCUUUCCUGCUGGCCGAGUUUUUAUCACUCAAAAAAAGAAAACGUAAUCACAUUUAAAACUUUCUCACCUUUUAUCCAUUACAAAUAAGAUUAAUUUUAGAGUAAAAAUAAUAUAAAAUGUACAAAACAAGCCUCUUUUAUUCUUUUCUUGAGAAUCAGUUGUUGCAGUGUAAACACUUUCCACAUUCCAGCAGCAGGCGACCCUGAAUCACUGAUUUUUCUGUUUUAUGACACACGACUUCUAUAAUUCACCAAAGCUACAGAAUUGACUGUAUGUUUUUAUGAUUUAUCUUUACAAUAGACUUUCACCACAUUCCCCACAUGCCUCCGCCUCAGCCAGAUAUUCUAUAAGCAAACCAUAAAUUCUGGAUCAUAAUGAGAUACAACCAUGAAUACAUUCUGUAUUCUUACCUUCAUAACUGACAAGUAAUUGCGGGCUGAAAUAUGUUUGUUUGCAAGCACAGAGAGAUUUGGGGGCUGUGAUGGGAGGUGUGGGACUUCAGCAGCUCCUCUGGCGCAGAUGGAUGGAGGGUUCGUCGUUGCUGCCCAACGAGACGCAGAAAAUAAAAAGAUGCUUGUGUGGAGAAGAAGAUGGAGUUAUCUUAUACGAAGAAAGAGUUUCAUUGAAAAUGAAGUUUUCUGUGAGUGAGGCAGCUUCUGUACCGUAAGAUCCCAGAUCAUUAGGAUCAUUAAGUUCUAUCAUCAGGAAACUUUCAACAUGAAUUAUUAAUGAGAACUUUUGUUGGAUUUCCUAACAAAGUGGAAGA